RNAcentral lists this ribosomal RNA (253 nucleotides) under uncultured bacterium. RNAcentral describes it as "partial 16S ribosomal RNA". It matches the Rfam family "Bacterial small subunit ribosomal RNA", at positions 524 to 776 of the family's 1533-position model. The record is from RNAcentral.
UACGUAGGGUGCGAGCGUUGUCCGGAAUUAUUGGGCGUAAAGAGCUCGUAGGCGGCUUGUCGCGUCGGAUGUGAAAGCCCGGGGCUUAACCCCGGGUCUGCAUUCGAUACGGGCAGGCUAGAGUUCGGUAGGGGAGAUCGGAAUUCCUGGUGUAGCGGUGAAAUGCGCAGAUAUCAGGAGGAACACCAGCGGCGAAGGCGGCGCUCUGGGCCGGAACUGACGCUGAGGCACGAAGGCCAGGGGAGCAAACGGG